This is a small nucleolar RNA of Erinaceus europaeus (western European hedgehog), 137 nucleotides long. NCBI's taxonomy places the organism in Eukaryota, Metazoa, Chordata, Mammalia, Eulipotyphla, Erinaceidae. The record is from Ensembl.
AGCACUGCAUGGUAUCUGCACUCAGUGGCGUGUCCUGCUGGGUGUUCAAAGGACAGUGCGACAUGAAUUCAGUGUCUGGCAUCGUUGGUUUUCUUGGCUUUGUGCAUGUGAAACCUGGUAUUUUUACUGAUACAGAU